AUUAUUGGGCGUAAGCGCGCGCAGGUGGUUUCUUAAGUCUGAUGUGAAAGCCCACGGCUCAACCGUGGAGGGUCAUUGGAAACUGGGAGACUUGAGUGCAGAAGAGGAAAGUGGAAUUCCAUGUGUAGCGGUGAAAUGCGUAGAGAUAUGGAGGAACACCAGUGGCGAAGGCGACUUUCUGGUCUGUAACUGACACUGAGGCGCGAAAGCGUGGGGAGCAAACAGGAUUAGAUACCCUGGUAGUCCACGCCGUAAACGAUGAGUGCUAAGUGUUAGAGGGUUUCCGCCCUUUAGUGCUGAAGUUAACGCAUUAAGCACUCCGCCUGGGGAGUACGGCCGCAAGGCUGAUACUC
RNAcentral lists this ribosomal RNA (353 nucleotides) under Bacillus cereus. RNAcentral describes it as "bacterial SSU rRNA". It matches the Rfam family "Bacterial small subunit ribosomal RNA", at positions 550 to 902 of the family's 1533-position model. The record is from RNAcentral. Lineage: Bacteria; Bacillati; Bacillota; Bacilli; Caryophanales; Bacillaceae.